CCGCGGUCACCUGAGGACACAUUGCUUACCAAGACUCUCCACGCUAUGGUUGGUGUUUCUUCCUUUUCGUAAGCUACACUCUUUGCAAGGGUGCGGCAUUUUCCUUAUGCUUGUGAUGACGCACCCUUUCAUCAAUAAGGCAUCACUGAUUUACAACCGGUCCUUGAAAAGGAGCAAAGUCUUCAGAGUGAGCAUGUUCUGGAUUCUGCAGGACAUUCCUUAGGAUCCUUUUCAAGGCAGAAACCUAUUCUGGACCAGUGUGACAUCUAUUAUGUAAAUAAGCGUGGCUAAGCCAUGGGUGUAAUGUCUGCAUCCAGAGUGACGACUCUUUUCUGUGAACUAGAGACUGUCAUGUGACCUUUUUCCUUAUCCAUAAAAUGCAAAUGAUGGCAUAAACCUGCUUUACUAGGCUUUUAUGAAGGCUUAUGGCAACUUGCUUUUAAAAUUGAAAGUUCCAUGUAACAGCAUUGCACUGUGGUUAACGUCCUCCAAAGUUCUUUCUGUCCUACAUUAAAAUAUCUUUAAUUUUCACUAAAUGAAUUCAAGGUUUGUAAGAAUUCCAGCAGAAACUGGCCUGGAAAUUGUUUUAUAAUAUCUGUUUUGUUUUGCAUAUAAAUGCUAUAUAUAGUUAUUAUAGAAAGUCUGUAAAAUGAAUCUUAAUCUAUGAGCAGCAGUAAAGCAUAGUGGUUAAGUAACACCUGACAUUGCAAUUUAUGGGUGGCUUAGCUAUAUAUUUUAAGUAACAUCACCGUGAAUGAACCUAGGUUUGAUCUUUAAAAGGAGAAAAUAAUAAUGGCUCCUUUUUAGAGCUGUGAGAAUUUAAGUACUCAUUAGUUCUUAAGAAUAAUUCCUGAUUCAGGAUAAGUGCCCAAUAAAUGUUAGCAACUGCUAUUGUUAAUAUGAAUUUUUUCUCAUUUUAAUGAUAGUCAAUUUAUAUAAGUAAAUUGCACAUAAGCUGGAAUUGUUCUAUGGAAGUUGUGAAGAAUGGUCAUUUUCAACCUUUCAGAUAAUGCGAAAUUGCUCCUCAAAGUGCUGUAAGUUAUACACCUACCUAAAGGCUGAUUUUAUUUUUGAUUAUUUCUUGUGUUGGCUUUGGCAAGAUAGUAAGAUGUACUUUUCCUGGUAAUUAGCUGAUUUCCUAAGUUUUUUAAUUUACUGAAAUAAUAUUAUUCAAAAAACACCUUAUGUUUCCUUGCACCCAAUUAUCUGUUAAUAUACCUGCCUUGUUUUGUUCUAAUAUUGUUUUGGUCUUUUUUGGUUAGAAUGCUAUAUCUUUCAAGGGGUCAGUCCCCUGAGAAGGCAAAAAGAAAAAUCUGAUAAAUGUUUGUCUUUUGUUUUUUCUUUUUGUUCCCUACUACGUGUGCUGUCUAGUUUAUUAAUUUCUGUUAUUAUUACUAAGCCUUCUGUUUUAUUUUUGAUUUAUUUUGCUCCUUUUCUAACUUCACUAAAUUGAGUGGUUGGCUUUUUAAAUUAAACAUAUCUUCUUUUUCAAAAUAUAUAUUUAAGUCUUUCAGC
RNAcentral lists this long non-coding RNA (1515 nucleotides) under Chinchilla lanigera (long-tailed chinchilla). RNAcentral's name for it is "lncRNA (ENSCLAG00000022503.1)". Lineage: Eukaryota; Metazoa; Chordata; Mammalia; Rodentia; Chinchillidae. The record is from RNAcentral.